ACUCCUACGGGAGGCAGCAGUAGGGAAUCUUCCGCAAUGGACGAAAGUCUGACGGAGCAACGCCGCGUGAACGAUGAAGGCUUUCGGGUCGUAAAGUUCUGUUGUUAGGGAAGAACAAGUACCGGAGUAACUGCCGGUACCUCGACGGUACCUAACCAGAAAGCCACGGCUAACUACGUGCCAGCAGCCGCGGUAAUACGUAGGUGGCAAGCGUUGUCCGGAAUUAUUGGGCGUAAAGCGCGCGCAGGCGGUUCCUUAAGUCUGAUGUGAAAGCCCCCGGCUCAACCGGGGGAGGGUCAUUGGAAACUGGGGAACUUGAGUGCAGAAGAGGAGAGCGGAAUUCCACGUGUAGCGGUGAAAUGCGUAGAGAUGUGGAGGAACACCGGUGGCGAAGGCGGCCCCCUGGACAGAUACUGACACUCAGAUGCGAAAGCGUGGGGAGCAAACAGGAUUAGAUACCCGUGGUAGCGACUGA
RNAcentral lists this ribosomal RNA (475 nucleotides) under uncultured bacterium. RNAcentral's name for it is "bacterial SSU rRNA". It matches the Rfam family "Bacterial small subunit ribosomal RNA", at positions 335 to 798 of the family's 1533-position model. The record is from RNAcentral.